UAAAGCGUGCGCAGGCGGUUUUGUAAGUCUGUCGUGAAAUCCCCGGGCUCAACCUGGGAAUGGCGAUGGAGACUGCAAGGCUAGAGUUUGGCAGAGGGGGUAGAAUUCCACGUGUAGCAGUGAAAUGCGUAGAGAUGUGGAGGAACACCGAUGGCGAAGGCAGCCCCCUGGGUCAAAACUGACGCUCAUGCACGAAAGCGUGGGGAGCAAACAGGAUUAGAUACCCUGGU
Molecule: ribosomal RNA, 230 nt
Filed under: uncultured bacterium
Lineage: Bacteria
Description: partial 16S ribosomal RNA
Rfam family: Bacterial small subunit ribosomal RNA
Source: RNAcentral